Cordylochernes scorpioides is the source of this 106-nucleotide non-coding RNA. Lineage: Eukaryota; Metazoa; Arthropoda; Arachnida; Pseudoscorpiones; Chernetidae. The record is from the annotation of a GenBank genome assembly.
ACGACCGUAACACAUUGAAAACAUCGGUCAAUCACCGAAGUUAAGCAAUAUCAGGUCUGGUUAGUACUUGGGAGGGUGACCACCUGGGAACACCGGGUGUAUUAUU